Long non-coding RNA from Apus apus (common swift), 292 nucleotides. RefSeq lists it as uncharacterized. The record is from RefSeq and is a predicted model, not a curated record. The transcript is spliced from 2 exons. NCBI's taxonomy places the organism in Eukaryota, Metazoa, Chordata, Aves, Apodiformes, Apodidae.
UCUGGCGGGUCAAAGUCAAGUGUCGAAGUGGGGCAAGAAGCUGCUGCAAAACAACGAGGUGUGCCAAACGUAGGUAACAGGACAGCGCGGGCUCUGUGCCAGAAGAGGAACUUAAUUUCUUCGCUGAGAAAUGAAACAGAGAUGUGAUUGGAAGUGCCACGCUUUGGAGGUGUCCUCUGUGUGAUGAACUGUGACCAGGAGCACAAUCAGGACAGACCUCUGGGAAAGGAUGGAGCUAAAUCCCCUCAAGGUUUCAAGCCCAGCCCAGGAUUUGGGGCAGGAUGCUGGAAGG